RNAcentral lists this long non-coding RNA (758 nucleotides) under Homo sapiens (human). Its description in RNAcentral is "HSALNT0174515". Lineage: Eukaryota; Metazoa; Chordata; Mammalia; Primates; Hominidae. The record is from RNAcentral.
AAGGCCAUGGGAACAAGAAAGAAAGCAGUCAGAGGCAAAGGAUUAGAUGCACACAUGGCAAGAUGUUGUCCUAACUCUACACCUGGAACUGCUGCAACCACCUUGCUUCCAGUGUGAGAAUGAAGACAGUGCUAAGGAUGGUAAAAAAGAGAGAUAACAAGAGCCUAAUCCUUGAGGACAUCCUUGAAUCACAGCGUCAACCAACUCUGUCAUCUGUCCUACCUCUGGACAUCCUGGUAUGAGAUUAGUGUGUUUCCUAAUUGCUUAGGCAAAUUUGAGUUGAGCUUUCUGAUUACGGCAGGACAGAUCAUCCUAACACAAAGGUCUCAAAGAGAAAAACAAGAGCAUGGUGGACACUACUAUAAAUGAUCUGAUGUCUAUUCUCCCUUUCUACCUUACUAAUAUUACUCUUCAUUUUGUUUAAAGUAGGUCAGUUAUAGAUACACAGUCAUUUUAGACAAUAAAAUAUAUAUGGAUGACCAUUCUUCAGCCUCAUGAGACGCUAUUGUCUUAUUAAAAUAAUUUAAAAAGGAAAAGUGUCUCUCAGUGCCCUUUGUCCUUUGCCGUUUCUCUCUCUGGGCCUGAUAUGUAGAUUAAAUGCUCAUACAUAGUGCAUUCAAUGUGCUCAGGGUGGCAGAGCUAUAAACCAGAAGGAAUCUGAAUUCUUGAUGCCAUCCCUGACCAGUUAUGCUCUUCCUAAAAGCCCUCCUUCCAGACUUUCUUCGCAAAUGAGGAAAAGAAACUCCUGCUUAGAUAAG